UGAGAAGCUGGCAGCUGGUUGAAAUGAUUGGACAAAGUGGGAUUUUUGAUAGAGCAUUAGGGUGAACACCUCACCAUACAUUAGCUACUUAGGCCAUCAAGUGUCUGUAGUCCAUGUUGGACACCACGACCUGGAGAAGUCCGGUCCUGGAUGGCUGCGGUGAUGACCUCGCCCAAGAUGAACCAACCCUUCUACGAUGAGGACUUUGCCCAAAAUGAACCGACCCUUCUACGAUGACGCCUCUUUUCCACGUGAUGUCUUCAGAUGUUGGAACUUGCCAAACUGUACACAUGCCUCAAUGGCUGCUACGUCACUCUGCCCAACAGGACCAUGGUCACCGAGAUUU
Solea senegalensis (Senegalese sole) is the source of this 346-nucleotide long non-coding RNA. RefSeq lists it as uncharacterized. The record is from RefSeq and is a predicted model, not a curated record. The transcript is spliced from 2 exons. NCBI's taxonomy places the organism in Eukaryota, Metazoa, Chordata, Actinopteri, Pleuronectiformes, Soleidae.